Molecule: long non-coding RNA, 1794 nt
Filed under: Calidris pugnax (ruff)
Lineage: Eukaryota; Metazoa; Chordata; Aves; Charadriiformes; Scolopacidae
Description: lncRNA (ENSCPUG00000017882.1)
Source: RNAcentral
CAGCUCUGGUUUUUUGGAGGGAGGAUAUCAAUCUGCAAUCCUGCGAUGCUUCUUCCCCUUAUGAGCUUGCAGCUCAACCAUGGCUCAGCUGUCCCAGACCCUGGACAGGUCUCUGGCUCGCACCCGAACCGCACCCCUGGCUCUCCAGGCCCUGGGAAGAGGAACCACGGGGGUAUCUCCCACCGCUGUGCCCUCCCCUGCUUCAGCCAAGCUGCUUCUGCCAGAGGGGUCUCCCAGCAGGAGAGGUCUCACACCAAAACCAUGUCCCCACACUCCAACAGGCCCUGCCUGGCCAUCACCACGGCCCCUUAAUAAGGCGAUCCGGGUGCUCUCGUUAAUAAAGUUUCUCGGUCGUUUGUUCCCCAAAAUCGUGGCCUGUGGUCUGCAGACGGCUGCCAGAAAGCUCUGGGAUUCCCCACCAGUGGGACAGCAGCAGACCCCGGGACGGCCCUGUGGGUGAGGGUGCUGCCGGCUGGAGCAGGAGGAAGAUGAGGGGAUCCUGUCUGGUGCUGAGCCAGGAGAAGACAAAACCAGGCCAGGCUGCCCAGGAGCGGGGUGUUUCUCAGCGUCAGACUUCCCGGUAAGAGGAGGACUUUAUCAAUGUAUAUUGACUACGUACUCAGGAAAGAGCGAGCGCUGGGGGCUAACAGACCUAUUCCCAACUCAUCCAUCUGGAGAUGGGCUGACUCUUUGAUCUCUGGUGGCUGGGACAUCCUUCGGGCCAAAACUCUUCUCAGUUCCUUUGCGUUUACGGCGCUGGAGGUGUCCCGGGAGCUACGCUCUAACAGCUGCCCGCUGCUUCCCCCGGAGAGGAAACCAACGGGGACAUUCCCAGGCCGGAAAGCUUUCAUUAAGAGACACAGAUAGAACAUUAAAAAUUAAAAAAAAAAAGUCUGCUUUGUUACAGUGGAAGAAACCCCACCCUUAGCUGGGAUAGACGUUGUGUUUGGGUGCAGUUUGAGCCUCGCUGUGCGGUGUGGAAGGGGAAGCCUGUGCUUUGCAGCCCUGCAGAAGGGUUCAGCUGUGCUGCUGGGGCUGUGGGUGCCCUCAACGCAGCCCAGGAUCGCACCCACGGGCUCUGGGGUCCAGGCUCAGUCAGGGAAUUGCCCCUUGGAAGGCCAUUGUUCCCUGUCUGGCAGCACAAAGGGAAUUUUGCUUCUUCCCUCAAGGUGCAGAAGCUCUGACAGAAGCCCAGAAGCAGCUUGUUUUUUUGAAAUGAAGAUGGCUAAAAUGGAGAUGACUAAGGAAAGAGCAGGCUCCUCGCGUAGCUAGAGGAGAUGACACCCCACUUCAGAGGCAUCUUUUAAAGGCGUGGAUGAAGAUCCUGCCGGGGAUGGGACACAACAGGGUUUGCCAUGCAGUGCUUUGUCACCACUUCUAAAACCUUUGCUGGCUCCACACUCCUCUGGCUUCUCACAUCACUUCCCUCAUCCCAGGACUCCGCAGGGAGGCAGCUCUUGUAUUUUUUUCUCAGUUAUUUUUUCAUUCCAGCAACACUUAUUAUUUUUUUUCUCUUUUUGGUGAUUUAGCAUGGAUUCUUUGCUGUUAAACCCACGACCGAAUCUUCUACUACUGCAAUUUAGUGGUCUCUUCUCUUCCCAACUAAACUUGCAAAGACUUGGUAUCUUGCACAUCUCAAUUUGUACAUCAGUUUUAAUUGAAACUGGCCAACGUGUCCAAAACCUUUGGAGACUGACCAAAAAUGGAACAGUAGUCACAGAAACCUGUCUUCAUUAACUUAGAGAAAGUUUAAGAAAAAAUAAACCCAAACCCAUAUUUUUCCUGUUUAGACUU